This 460-nucleotide ribosomal RNA is filed under the name uncultured bacterium. Its description in RNAcentral is "partial 16S ribosomal RNA". It matches the Rfam family "Bacterial small subunit ribosomal RNA", at positions 338 to 795 of the family's 1533-position model. The record is from RNAcentral.
CCUACGGGGGGCAGCAGUGAGGAAUAUUGGUCAAUGGACGAGAGUCUGAACCAGCCAAGUAGCGUGAAGGAUGACUGCCCUAUGGGUUGUAAACUUCUUUUAUAAAGGAAUAAAACGAGGCACGUGUGCCCUUUUGCAUGUACUUUAUGAAUAAGGAUCGGCUAACUCCGUGCCAGCAGCCGCGGUAAUACGGAGGAUCCGAGCGUUAUCCGGAUUUAUUGGGUUUAAAGGGAGCGUAGAUGGGUUGUUAAGUCAGUUGUGAAAGUUUGCGGCUCAACCGUAAAAUUGCAAUUGAUACUGGCAGUCUUGAGUACAGUUGAGGUAAGCGGAAUUCGUGGUGUAGCGGUGAAAUGCUUAGAUAUCACGAAGAACCCCGAUUGCGAAGGCAGCUUACUAAACUGUGACUGACAUUGAUGCUCGAAAGUGUGGGUAUCAAACAGGAUUAGAUACCCCGGUAGUC